AUGGAGUGCCAAGGUGGGGGGCAGGCCGUUCCUCCGGAGGUCCAGGUCCUCUCCUCGACCUCCUGCAGCCCCUCGGCGGGGGAGGAAGGGGGGGAGCUUCUCUGCCUCGUCACCGGCUUCGCCCCGCCCCCCGUGAAGGUGCAGUGGUUGGUGGACGGUGUCCCCAGUGACUUCCCGGUCACCCAAAUGCCACCGCGGCGGGAAGAAGGGGCCACCACCUACGUGGUCAGCAGUCGCACCAACGUCAGCCACCACGAGUGGUUGGAAGGGAAGACCUUCACCUGUCAGGUGACGCAUCCCCCCACCGGCCAGGUCGCCCAGGGCCACGCCCGCUUCUGCCCAGGUCUGGAGAACCUCAACGUCAACAACAUCCGUCUCUACGUCCUCCCGCCGGCGGUGGCCGACCUCUACAUCACCCGUCACCCCAAGGUCCGUUGUUUGGCCACCAACCUCCCCAGCGACUCGGGCUUCCAACUCUCGUGGGUCAAGGAGAAACCGGGGGUCCUCCACCCGGACCUCUUGGACCUCCGGGAGCAGUUCAACGGGACCUUCACGGCCACCAGUACCUUGAGCAUCUCCACCCAAGACUGGGAAAAUGGAGAACGUUUCACCUGUACGGUCAAACACUCCGACCUCCAGGUGCCCCUCAACAAGAGCAUCUCCAGACGUACCGGCAAGGUCACCCCACCCCUCAUCUUCCUCUUCCCCCCCCACCCCGAGGAGAUGUCCCACUCGGAGGUGACCCUCACCUGUUUGGUUCGGGCUUUCCAACCGGAGAACGUGGAGGUCCAAUGGUUGAAGAACCACCAGAACGUCCCGACGGAGGACUACGUCACCACUCCGCCCCUCAGAGAAGGUCCCACCGCCACCUCCACCUUCUUCAUCUACAGCAAGAUGACGGUCCUCAAGGCCAACUGGUUGCGAGGAGACAUCUACACCUGCAUGGUGGUCCACGAAGGGUUGCCCAUGAAGUUCACCCAACGUCAAAUCCAGAAGAACCCCGGUAAAUAA
Charadrius vociferus (killdeer) is the source of this 1011-nucleotide non-coding RNA. NCBI's taxonomy places the organism in Eukaryota, Metazoa, Chordata, Aves, Charadriiformes, Charadriidae. The record is from the annotation of a RefSeq genome assembly.